GACGAACGCUGGCGGCGUGCCUAACACAUGCAAGUCGAACGGAACUGUUUUGAAAGAUUUCUUCGGAAUGAAUUUGAUUUAGUUUAGUGGCGGACUGGUGAGUAACGCGUGAGUAACCUGCCUUCAAGAGGGGAAUAACAUUCUGAAAAGAAUGCUAAUACCGCAUGACAUAUCGGAACCACAUGGUUUUGAUAUCAAAGAUUUUAUCGCUUGAAGAUGUACUCGCGUCCGAUUAGUUAGUUGGUGAGGUAACGGCUCACCAAGACCGCGAUCGGUAGCCGGACUGAGAGGUUGAGCGGCCACAUUGGGACUGAGACACGGCCCAGGCUCCUACGGGAGGCAGCAGUGGGGGAUAUUGCGCAAUGGGGGCAACCCUGACGCAGCAACGCCGCGUGAAGGAUGAAGGUUUUCGGAUUGUAAACUUCUUUUAUUAAGGACGAAAAAUGACGGUACUUAAUGAAUAAGCUCCGGCUAACUACGUG
RNAcentral lists this ribosomal RNA (482 nucleotides) under uncultured bacterium. Its description in RNAcentral is "partial 16S ribosomal RNA". It matches the Rfam family "Bacterial small subunit ribosomal RNA", at positions 28 to 507 of the family's 1533-position model. The record is from RNAcentral.